ACCUCACUGGUGUAGUGGUAGCACGCUCCACCGGUAUUGGUGAUACACAGGUUCAUAUCCCUUGUGAGGCU
Molecule: non-coding RNA, 71 nt
Organism: Parelaphostrongylus tenuis
Lineage: Eukaryota; Metazoa; Nematoda; Chromadorea; Rhabditida; Metastrongylidae
Source: the annotation of a GenBank genome assembly